Molecule: ribosomal RNA, 487 nt
Filed under: uncultured bacterium
Lineage: Bacteria
Description: partial 16S ribosomal RNA
Rfam family: Bacterial small subunit ribosomal RNA
Source: RNAcentral
GAUGAACGCUAGCGAUAGGCUUAACACAUGCAAGUCGAGGGGCAGCACAAGGUAGCUUGCUAUCUGGGUGGCGACCGGCGCACGGGUGCGUAACGCGUAUGCAACUUGCCCUAUACAGGAGGAUAACCCGUCGAAAGACGGACUAAUACUGCGUAUGCUCACAACUUGGCAUCAAGUGGUGAGGAAAGAAAUUCGGUAUAGGAUAGGCAUGCGUCCCAUUAGCUUGUUGGUGAGGUAACGGCUCACCAAGGCAACGAUGGGUAGGGGAACUGAGAUGUUUAUCCCCCACACUGGUACUGAGACACGGACCAGAAUCCUACGGGAGGCAGCAGUGAGGAAUAUUGGUCAAUGGGCGCGAGCCUGAACCAGCCAAGUCGCGUGAAGGAUGACUGUCUUAUGGAUUGUAAACUUCUUUUAUACGGGAAUAACAAGAGUCACGUGUGACUCCCUGCAUGUACCGUAUGAAUAAGCAUCGGCUAACUCCGUG